AACAAAGAGAGAGGAAUUACAGUCAGCUCUGUGUGCCACCAAGACAAGCCUGCGGGGUAGGGGUGGAGAAAAACAAAGCGUUCAUUUUGCCACUUCCUGCACAACAAAGCCAUGCGCUCACACCACGCAGGCACCUUCCUUGUGCCCUCAUGGCAAUGCUGAGGCUCCAGGCCUCCCCAGGGCACAUCCCCACCAUAAACCACGGCCCCAGCCCUGCAGGCGGAUCCCACAGCCCCCCAGGAGCUGAGCACGGCCCCAUCCCGCAGCUCACAGCCCCCAGCUCAACCUGCAGGCCUAGCCACAGCCGACGGCCUCAGCUCCGCUCCCCGUGUUUGUUUACAUCUUUUUCCAUUGCCUUUUGGAGCGAAGGCUGCUCCAGAGACACGGCCUUGCCAACAGGAUGAGAUAGCUGUCAUAGCUGGGAGCUGACGUGGCAGGGAGAAAUCAGGCAGGAUUUUGUUUGGAAGGGAUGGGAAGGGCUAGUUGGGUCUUUCAACCUCCCAUUACUCAGUAGUUCAUUGCUCUCUUGACUUAGAGCAAUUUGAGGGAAAAAUAUGUGAGCAAAGAGGUUCAGUGCAUUUGCCAGAUUGUUGCUGUUUGUCUCCCAGGGACACGAGCAGAACCCUGCCCAUCUCCCAUGUUCCACUGCUGCCUGCCCCUCUCUCUCCCCGCCUGCCCCACAGGGCUGCAUCCACCAGGCACUAAACAUGGCACAAUGCACUUGAAAACUUUGCAGUGUGUACCAUUAACUAUAGCAUCAGCACUUCACUAACAAAGGCAAAAGUUACCUCCUGCCACUGCAUCUGCAUGGAGAUCUCCACCAUCAUCCAAAUGCAGCUCAGACCUCUGUGGUUUUGCUCACCCACAUGAGCAAUCCUUUCCUGCUGGAGCCUGGAGCCUUGGGAAUCACCUGCCCAAAGACGGGAAGUCUCUGAGUUCAACCCUCAGGUUCAAUCAGUAGAGGAGACCUGAUGAGAAGCCCUCCGGUGCCACCAGGCUCAGCUCUUGGCUCUGAGCAGUCUCAGGAAUCCCAAAACUUCCAGCAGCCCAAUUCAAAUCAGCUGCUAAUACAGCAUCCAGGUGACACGGGUGCUUAUGUUGCAAAUGCCCAACAAACAGUUUCACAGCUCUUUGCGCCUGGCAUUUCCUGAAGCUCCCUCUCCGGAGCCUCCAGCUCGAGGAACGUAUUUUGAAUCUGGGAGGAAAGCAGAGGGCUCGGUGAGAGCCAAGCCUGGUGGGCACAACGCUGGGAUCCCUGCCCCAGGGCACAGGCACUGCAUGCACCACUGGCACAGCUGGAUGUGCCAGAGGGAGAGUUGCUCCAUGGGGAAGGGCAGAGCAUGACAGACCCCUCACUGGGUCAGCGUGGGCUGUAGUGCAUUUCUAUUGGGUUUCAUUCUGGUUCACAGGCUAGCAAUGAGAAUAUUAGGGAAAUACUACCUCUGAAACAGCAUGAAUGUCUGUGCUUACGCAGGCACAGCAGGCAGCAAGCCAGCCACUGGGAAUAUGGAAAAUAUAUGAAAUUUUAAAAUAUGCAUUUUCAACAAGGGCAGAGAUGCCAAAUAAUAAUUACGGGUGUGGUUAUAUAGUCUGAACAUCCAAAAAAACCCUAAUGGGCUCAUUUCAGCCCAGAAAUCCUGACUUAAAUAAAUCCAACUCCCAAUCCCAUAGCUCAUACACCACACGUACAAAUCUUCCUUCCAGGAGCAGGGCCAGCUUAAAAAAAGUUUCACCAUCACGCCAGGUGGGAACACAGGCUUGGUGUCAGCAGCAUGUAGCCUUUUCUGCAUGCAAGCACUUGGGCUGGGGGCUGCAGGAGGCUGGGGGACUGUGCCGGUACCUAUGUGGCUGGGAGCAGGCAGACAAGCACUCCAGGCACUGACCCCAGCAUGGGCACCUCACUGUUCUGGCUGCAAAGAAGGAGGAGCUUGGAGGACUGAAAAAAACAACAGAAGUCCUGCUGGCAAAAAGCCCAUACGACAAGGAGGUGUACCCAAGGGCUGUGACUUACUGGUUAAUGCUUUGCUUGGGACUGUUGUUACAUUCCUUGAUUCACAGGCAGACAAUACCUUUGUCUACGUGUCUCCAAGGCAGGGCUGAAUCCAUGACCUCGCUAUCAGCAGUGCUGAUCUCGAGCUGCCCUUUGCCUCUCCACUCUGUGCCAAGCUGAUGUCUGCUCUGUGCUCAGCUGCCCUCAGCUGAUGGGUGAGGCUGGGGACAGGGCUUGCUGCUGAGCCUCAGCAGCCUCACACAGCCCAAACACAGUCCUGUGUAUCUGUGAAUCACACUGCAGCUCGAUGUAGGCAUUCUACAAGCAGCUCCUUCAAAGUAUCUGUGCUGGGUGUGCAGCCCCCUGCCCAGUGUCCUACAGCCAGCUGCAGGGUUUCCAGAGAACAGCCUGGGACAAACAUACUGUUUGUAACGACUUUCUCCAUGCAAGAAAGCCAGGGACUUCCUCGCUGCCUGCUCAGCCUGUCCGCUGUGGAGGGGAAGUGGCAGCAGCACCAGCCCUCCCUCUGCUCCAAAGCAGUUUGUAUAUAAAACGAAAAUGCCCCAAGUGCAUUUAUAAGCCCAAAGGCAGCUGCAAUUACAUCUCACAAGCACGUGCAGAUAUUCACUGUUAGCUCCUGUCACUGAAAAACACAGCAGACCUUCCCACGCAGCCAGAGCCCAGCAGUCCUCGCUGACAGCUCAGCCAAGGGACCCGCCUGCUCUGCAGUCCAAUGGGACAUGCGAGGGACAUGCACAGCAUGGAUUUGGGCACCUAGGUUAUAGACACAACAAACUGAAGUCUGAGUGCUACGCUCAGCAAUUACGGUGUUCCCCAGGAGAAUAAAUAUAUGUACAUUUGUUGAAACCACUUAUGACUUAAAUUACACACACUUAAAGAUGCUGCUGUCCUCCUGGGGUCAGCAGAGCUUGCUCCUCUCGCCCAGGCAGGCCUGGCUCUGCCCUGGGUGCAUGAACUCCAGGAACUUUCAACACUGUGAGAAAAAGAAUUAAAAAAAAACAACAACAAAAACAAACCCAAAUCUUAUCUCAAAAGGUAUUUCACCAAACACUGGAUAGUCGCCUGGGGUGGAACAGCUGAUGUCCCUGAACUUAUGCUGAAGUUUCUAACUGAAGCCCAAUUAAGAGCACACACCCUCAGCUCAGCCAACUUG
Molecule: non-coding RNA, 3164 nt
Organism: Meleagris gallopavo (turkey)
Lineage: Eukaryota; Metazoa; Chordata; Aves; Galliformes; Phasianidae
Source: RefSeq, a predicted model, not a curated record